Molecule: ribosomal RNA, 469 nt
Filed under: uncultured bacterium
Lineage: Bacteria
Description: partial 16S ribosomal RNA
Rfam family: Bacterial small subunit ribosomal RNA
Source: RNAcentral
GACGAACGCUGGCGGCGUGCUUAACACAUGCAAGUCGAACGGAAAGGCCCUGCUUUUGUGGGGUGCUCGAGUGGCGAACGGGUGAGUAACACGUGAGUAACCUGCCCUUGACUUUGGGAUAACUUCAGGAAACUGGGGCUAAUACCGGAUAGGAGCUCCUGCUGCAUGGUGGGGGUUGGAAAGUUUCGGCGGUUGGGGAUGGACUCGCGGCUUAUCAGCUUGUUGGUGGGGUAGUGGCUUACCAAGGCUUUGACGGGUAGCCGGCCUGAGAGGGUGACCGGCCACAUUGGGACUGAGAUACGGCCCAGACGCCGACGGGAGGCAGCAGUGGGGAAUAUUGCACAAUGGGCGGAAGCCUGAUGCAGCAACGCCGCGGGCGGGAUGACGGCCUUCGGGUUGUAAACCGCUUUCGCCUGUGACGAAGCGUGAGUGACGGUAAUGGGUAAAGAAGCACCGGCUAACUACGUGC